Molecule: long non-coding RNA, 2103 nt
Organism: Balaenoptera ricei (Rice's whale)
Lineage: Eukaryota; Metazoa; Chordata; Mammalia; Artiodactyla; Balaenopteridae
Exons: 2
Source: RefSeq, a predicted model, not a curated record
UCAUGUUGGUCUUAUUCUUGCGCAGCCCCCAGAGCCGGGCCACCUCCUCAGCAUCCACCAGCUUGAACUCACCGCCAUCCCGGGAGGUCCAGGAGAUGAUGUGGCCAUUGCCUUGCUCUCUCAACAGCUGCAGCAGAAACUGCCACAGCGUCACAGAAGGGUCCAUUGCUGGGGGAGCGCUCACGCCAUCCCAGGGGUACCUGGAGAGCAGAAAGCUCAGAGCUGAGAGGUUGCAGACACAGGAAGGGGAAGAGGUCAGCAGGAGGAGGAUUCCUUUCUUGCCAUCUUGCCUUCACCUCUGUCCCCAGCUGCCACCACCAUUCCCUGAACGCCCUCAGCCUGGCUUUGGAUGACUCCUGUAAUGCGAUGAGACUUCUGGGGAUGCUAGGAUAGCGUCAAUGUCUUCUGCGUGUGGGACAGAUGUGAACCUCUGGGGGCCAGAGGGCAGACUGUGACACGCAGAAUAAUGCCCCUCACCCAAAGAUGUCCGCAUCCUAAUUUCUGGAACCUGUGAGUAUAUUAUGUUACCUGGCAAAAAGAACGUUGCAGAUCCUACAACCUCAAGGAAUUGAAUUCUGCCAGCAACCUAAACGAACAGGAAAUGGAUCAUCCCCUGGAGCUUCUGGAAAGGAAUACAGCCCUGCCGACACCUGGAUUUUAGCCUGGUGAGACCUGUGCUGGCCUUCGGACCUCCAGAACUCUAAGAGAAUAAUUUGUGUUUUAAGCAGUUAAAAGUUUGUUAUAAUUCGUUACAGCACGAAUAGAAAACUAGAAUAAGGCCCCUCACCUGAACAUUUUCAUUUGCAUCUUCUACCACAUCAAAUAUUAAGUUUUCCAGGAGGUUCCUUCUGCCAGCUCCUCGCAAAGGCUGUUCACUUCAUGCUGGGUUCCCUUCCUCUGCCUAGAAGUCUUCUCCAUCGUUCAGUUCCCAGCCCCAAGGGCCUUGCCUUUAUGAAAAUUCCUAACACUGAAUGUCUGCUCUCUUCUGUCUCUCUACCCCACGCUCCUCUGACCCAUCUCUGUCCCUCUGUGUUCUCCUUCUUGACAACAGCAAUAAUGAACAUUUAUUGAGUGCUAAAUACAUGCCAGGCAUUGUACCAAUCAGAGGCAAUAUGGCCUACUGGACAAUCAGCCUCUCCAGAGCCAGACCACCAGGGCUGGAAUCCUGGUUCUGCUACUUAUUAGCAGUGUGACACUGGGCAUGUUCUUUAACCUCCUGUGCCUCAAUUUUCCCAUCUGUAAAAUAGGGAUAAUAGUAAUACCACCUAGCUCAUAGGGUUAUCGUACAGAUUAAAUAUACUAUGCCUGGGGUAUGAUAAGCUCUUAUGAAAUAUUAGUUUCUAAUUUGUUCAUAAUUCCUUAUCUGCUAUGCCAAAACCUGAUCUGAAACAAAAUAAGGCCUUUUGUGGUCUUCACUGAUCCUCACUUGGUGUGACUGUUCAUACAUCUUGCUGCAGAAAUCUGAAUGUGGCUGAUUACAGAGCCCACUAAGGGUGUUAUGUAACAUCUUGUAUGUAUACCUUGUCACCUUUCUAAAAUCUGAAAAAUUCAAAAUUGUGAAACACAUCUGGCCCCAAGGGUUUUAGAUAAGGGCAUGUAGACCUGGAUUGCUAUUUCUAUAGCUAUUGACUCAUUUCUCUCUCAUCACAACUUUGGGAAAUAGGUACUCUUAUUAUCUCUAAUUUACAGAUGAGGAAGCAGAGGCACAAAAUGUCUAAAUGACAUGUACAGGCCACACAGCCCUAAGUGGCAGAGCCAGGAUUUGGACGCAGGCAGCCAAGUUCCAGGUGUCUGAUCUUUUCAACCAUUAGACUAAACUGCCCCUUGCACUGACUGCUCCCUCAGCAUGUCGAGCAGAGAACAGGACCCUCCUGGCCCCGCCCCCCCCCACCCCAUAACUGCUCCCUUUGCUGAGUGUGAAUUGGAAAUAAACAUGAGGUUCCUUUUCCUUAAGGAAUGAGCUUUCAUCAAUCAACUGUUCACCCAGCUGGGACUGUUGGGUUAAGAAUAAGACCUUCCAAAUCGGAAGGUUUCAAAGAACCUCCCUCUAUUAUUUAUAGCUUGAGUCUUUAAUCUGUAAUGAAAUACAGUCUGAUCCUCUUA